Molecule: non-coding RNA, 24 nt
Filed under: Arabidopsis thaliana (thale cress)
Lineage: Eukaryota; Viridiplantae; Streptophyta; Magnoliopsida; Brassicales; Brassicaceae
Source: RNAcentral
AGAGGGCAACGAAUCAAUCAUGAC